RNAcentral lists this ribosomal RNA (253 nucleotides) under uncultured bacterium. RNAcentral describes it as "partial 16S ribosomal RNA". It matches the Rfam family "Bacterial small subunit ribosomal RNA", at positions 524 to 776 of the family's 1533-position model. The record is from RNAcentral.
UACGGAGGGUGCAAGCAUUAAUCGGAUUCAUUGGGCGUAAAGGGCGCGUAGGCGGAAAGGUAAGUCAGACGUGAAAGCCCGGAGCUUAACUCCGGAAUAGCAUCUGAAACUACUUUUCUUGAGGAUAGGCGGAGAAAACGGAAUUCCACGUGUAGCGGUGAAAUGCGUAGAUAUGUGGAAGAACACCGGUGGCGAAGGCGGUUUUCUAGCUUAUUCCUGACGCUGAGGCGCGAAAGCUGGGGGAGCGAACAGG